RNAcentral lists this ribosomal RNA (440 nucleotides) under uncultured bacterium. RNAcentral describes it as "partial 16S ribosomal RNA". It matches the Rfam family "Bacterial small subunit ribosomal RNA", at positions 338 to 795 of the family's 1533-position model. The record is from RNAcentral.
CCUACGGGAGGCAGCAGUGGGGAAUAUUGCACAAUGGGGGAAACCCUGAUGCAGCGACGCCGCGUGAGUGAAGAAGUAAUUCGUUAUGUAAAGCUCUAUCAGCAGGGAAGAAAAUGACGGUACCUGAGUCAGAAGCCCCGGCUAACUACGGGCCAGCAGCCGCGGUAAUACGUAGGGGGCAAGCGUUAUCCGGAUUUACUGGGUGUAAAGGGAGCGUAGACGGCAGUGCAAGUCUGGAGUGAAAGGCGGGGGCUCAACCCCCGGACUGCUCUGGAAACUGUACGGCUGGAGUGCAGGAGAGGUAAGUGGAAUUCCUAGUGUAGCGGUGAAAUGCGUAGAUAUUAGGAGGAACACCAGUGGCGAAGGCGGCUUACUGGACUGUAACUGACGUUGAGGCUCGAAAGCGUGGGGAGCAAACAGGAUUAGAUACCCCUGUAGUC